UUGUAAUAUUUUCCUACUAUUUUCCUGUGUCAAUGGAUUGACGUUAUUUUGCCAUUAUCGUAAUGGAACUAUAUAAUUCCUUUUUAGAUACAUAGACAAAAAGAUAAGCUGCAAAAUCCGUGCCUAUAUUAUUUAGCUUAAACAAGCAAAAUUUCCUUCACUCUAGAAAGAAGUAAAUCCAAGAUCUAUGAUAAAAUAAAAUAAAAAAAAUUCAUAUGAAAGCAGAAAUUGGAGGCUCAGAUUCGCCUUUUAUCAUCAGAAGAGAAAAAUGGCUAACCCGCCAUGGCUGCAGAAAUCAGUUUGAUUUAUGAGAGCCAUCUCAUAAAUAAUCUAAUUUCGCCACGCCAAGAUACAGGUUUGCUCGAAAUCUGAUCUUUUAAUUGAAAAAAUCAUCACAGCCUCAAAAUAAAGGGAAAAUUGCAGCAUUGGUCUCCAAUCCAAGUCACUGGGAAGAGAUCUGGAUUGAUCUUGAUGAACUGACAAGGGUUGUUGAGAUUUUGUUGUAAGAUCAUCGGCCGCUGGAUGCAUUUGAGGGGUAACAACCCUAGAAGACUCCCUUCCUCGCUCCAUAAACCAGUAG
RNAcentral lists this long non-coding RNA (580 nucleotides) under Olea europaea subsp. europaea. Lineage: Eukaryota; Viridiplantae; Streptophyta; Magnoliopsida; Lamiales; Oleaceae. The record is from RNAcentral.